Molecule: long non-coding RNA, 720 nt
Organism: Peromyscus eremicus (cactus mouse)
Lineage: Eukaryota; Metazoa; Chordata; Mammalia; Rodentia; Cricetidae
Exons: 3
Source: RefSeq, a predicted model, not a curated record
UGAAAGUGAAGAACCUGAGUGUGAGACCCCAAAUGAUGGAAGUAUUAAGGAGACAGGGCAACACUUUCAGAUGCCACACUGGACCGAGAGUUUUUUGGUCUAUUUUGGACGAGACCCUAAGAGACCAGGCAACAAAACCAAGAGAAAACAAGUCAGACCAGGAGGCCGCUGUGCAGCCAAGGACUCAGUCACAGGGUGAAGAAACAAAGCACAGAGCUGGAAAAACCAUUGUCCUAUCCAGGACAGUAAGGAGCUAAAAGGCCCAAAGGAAAAAAAAAGUUAUCAUGGGUCACUCAUGAGCAUCAAAUCAGUCUUCCGACAUCCAUUUGUCCUCAUGUGUCUCUGCAGACCUGAUCAGGCACACCCCAAAUCCGUGGAAUCCUGGAGCCACCCUCCUCUGCUCUGCCUCCCAUCCAUCUGCAGCCUCUGAUUGGACCUUCAUGUCGGGCUCCGCCCACCUCUCCCCCUGACCUGCCUCAUCCCAUCAGCUUAUCCACAAGGGUGGUUGGGUGCUCCACUGCUUGGGGGUGGAAGGGUGGAACCGUUCCUGUUUUAUCCCAUUUCGAACACCUUUGUGGGUGCAUGAGAAUAUGAAGAAAUCCUGAGGGAGCAGGCCACGGGCCUUCCUAGCUUGAGACCUGUGCCUGCACCACAGACCCUAUGAAAGCCCCGUGAAAGCAUUCCAGGAUGUAAUAAACCCGUCAGGCCUCGGCUAAUUUA